Non-coding RNA from Heterocephalus glaber (naked mole-rat), 4257 nucleotides. The record is from RefSeq and is a predicted model, not a curated record. Lineage: Eukaryota; Metazoa; Chordata; Mammalia; Rodentia; Bathyergidae.
GGUGGGCUGCUGCCUCGGGGCUGGACACGGAGGAGCCUGAGCCCCGCAGGGUGGGUGACAGCCACCAAGGUCUCAAGAGUCCCUGCAGGCUGGGGGCCAGCAGCUGCCCAUUGCCCGCACCAUGUCGGACGGCGAGGGCCCCUCCGCCGAUACUUCAAGACAUAGAAAUUCUUUUGAUUGAUGCAAACCACUAAGAACACUUUUGAGUGAAAAGCUUAAGAGGGAACAAAGUCGUGGGUUUCUUGGAUAAUAAACAGAUGUCAUGUCUGUUUGGACAAUGGAAGUGGAAGGGACAGAAGAGCUCACGACUCUGCAGAAUCGGUGGUGAAGUUGGAGCCGUCCUUAGCAAGGGUGUCUUACCACACAGUGCUGUUUCCUGGACAACCAGGUGGCCAAGGAGCUGGGCGCUCGAAGUAAAGAAUUCCCUACCUUUAUAAGAUGAGCAAGAUGGAGCGGAAAGACAUUUCCAGCAGCAGAAUCUCCUGAGCAGAGACCCAGCGGUGUUUGAGAAAUGAAAAGCAGUGUGGAGUGAGGAGGUCAACGCUCAUGGGAGCUGGAGGGGCUUCGGACAGGAGCCAGGAAGGACUCUGCAGGACUCUGCAUAUUCAGAACUUGGUUGGCUGGGUCUCUUUUUCUCCCACGAGGACAGUGCUGUUACAAGUGGAAGGGACAAAGGAGACAGCCCUGGGGAAGAUCUGUCAAGAGCUCAAGAAAGGGGAGAGAUGGCAAGAGAUGAUUUAGUUGCUGUGAAGACAUUCUCUAGGCCUCAACAAAUGAUCUUUAAUUUUGUCAUAUGGAAGUCUUAGAAAAUUGGGAAGGGAGAAAAGGUCAUCAUUUCCCAAAUAGCACAAAAAGCUGGAUUCUGGAAGAUACAGAGGAUAUGUCUGAUAUUAAUAUAGGUUCUGAGCAAAAAUUGUAACAGAUCUUUGAAGAGCUAGGGCGUAAACACUUGGCAUAAAAGAUGGUAACUAAAAGCCAAACCAACCUCCCUCCCUCUUUUCGUGGUGUUUGCAGAUUGGAUUUACAAAGCAGCAGUGAAAACCGUUCUCAAAAUCCUGCGGAUGUUACAGAGGGAAAUGGGCGGAGUAUCCAACAGUUGGGGGAAUUGCAUUUUCAGUAGGACAAAUAUAUCCAGAGGAUUGAUAAACAGGUCAACUGAGGUGCAGCUGGGGAGGCCCCCCAAGGCUGUCCGCUGGGCUCUGCUCCCCUGGACUGCUGAAGUGUUUGUCAACUACAAGGACGAGGAUAGAGCAGACAGGAAAGGGUUCGCUAUGGCAGUCACUGCUGUCGAAAAGCUGAUGUAUUAGAUGCCAGAUUUAAGAAUUUAAGAGGUUUUGGUUUGCUAAUACGGUGGUUGGAAACCAACAAAAUGACAUUUAACAAGGAUAAACACAAAUCCUGUCAUUAGAUAAAAAGAGAAAAUCAAUCAGCUCUAGUAUAGGAAGGAAAAGAACCAACAGCAGCUCAAGGGAAAAAGAUAGAUAGGUUCAUAACUCACUAGAAGUUCAUCACCAGCCAGUAGUCCAUGUCCUGAACGCUCAAAAAAAAAAAAAAAUCAGUGCAAACUUCAUUUGCACCCACAGAAUCAUAAUAUCCAGAGCACUUGGAGGUUAUUGUGUGCAGAUCCACGUACCAGGAUUCCAGAGAAAAGACCUAGUGGGGUAGAGACAGGCAUUUGCGCAGAUGAGGGGUCCGGAAACUGUCAUGUGAUAGUGCAGAAUAAGGAACAUUACCAUGGGCUGGUGAGAGAAAGUCUUUCAUGUGUAACGGGCCCAGCAGAUUCAUCUCGAGCAUUCAUUCAUUCAUUCAUUCAUUCAUUCGGCAGCAGCUCUUCACUGCCCACCACAUUCACACCGAAUUGUGGCCAUGAUGGGUGCUGGAGGAUGCACUCUCCUAGGAGAGAUGGACAUGGUUUGUCCACAGCAAGCCAGUGGACCCCAUGGAUAUGGAAGAAAGAACAGGGGCAUCCAGGCCUUACUGACAGGGCAGCCUCAGCGCAGGUGGGCAGGGAGGCUGGCACUCAGGACAGGGAGGCAGCACUACCCAAAGUCCCAAGCACUCAAGGGUGUGGCAUGUCUGAAAACCAGCAGUGGGACUGUGGCAGGGGUACGUGGGAUGCCGAAGGUGGCAUUUGUAUCAGGAACACGUACAAUGUCAGGCCAAGAUGUUUGCACUUCCUAGUAGGCAACAGCAUGAAAUGACAUCAAUUAACCCUGUUUAGGCAAGUUAUUCCCAGAGUAAUGAAGCGGAGCGAGGGAGACUGGGGUGCAAACCACUACUGAAACCUUUCAGAAUAGAGAGAAGCCUGAACCGGGACAGAGGGAGGCCAAACUGACCAGACGAAAGUAGAUCGAUGAAAAAGAAAAAAAAAAAAGUGGAUCGAUGAAGGAUGCUUUAUAGCAAGGGAAAUCUGGGAUGAAAAUAAACAGCAAUCUAAUCAUGGGCACUCUCAGUCUUUGAGAGAGGCCAAGCAAUCAUUUGUCAGGGGUGUUGGAGAAAUGGCAGUUGCGUUGCCAGGCAGGUAGAAGGGAUUUCAGUGUUUCUCAUCAAUGCUAAGAAUCUGCGAUGACUUCUCAGUGAUUUUAUCAAGAGCGGCGUAACCCAUUGUUGACUGGGCGAUUCUAGGCUGACAUAUUCGUUAGCCAGGAUUGCCAUAACAGAAUUCCACAAACCAACUGGCUUCAGUGGACAGUUAUUGUCUCCACUUCUGGAGACUGGAAGUCUGAGAUCGAGGUGUCUGCAGGGCUGGUUCCUCAGAGCAGGGAGGGAAGGGUCGGGUCCCGGCCUCUGUCCUUGGCCAGGGGAUGCUGUUUUCGUCCUGUGUCGCCUGCAUCUUCCCUCUGUGAAAUAACGUCCAGAUUUUCUCUUCUUGUAGGGACAGCAGCCACACUGAGCUCAUUUGGACCUGAUUACCUUUAUGAAGACCCCAUCUCCAAACACAGUCACAUCCUGAGGUCCUGGGGCUUAGACCUUCAACACAGGAAGUGGGUGGGCACAAUCCAGCCCAUGAACACCGACUAGGUCCAGGUCUCUGUGCUUUUAGGCUAAAAUCAGACCCCCGCAAGAUCUCCCAGGUCCCCUGUGAAGAGGCCAAAGAAAUGACCUCUCCUCCUCUGAUGAGAUUGUGUCUCCAAAGUGGCCUCCUGUUCAUGGCUGCCUUGUGCUGCUGGGUCUCUUCGUCCCCCUAGUUUCUUCCUCAGUCCAAUUUAGAUCCUCCAGGAUGAUCUGAAAUCCUUCCUAUUUUGUUGCGUAGCACUUGUAAUUUGUAAUUGUGUAUCCAUUGGGAUAAUUAUCCUAUGUCUGAAUGUGCUUUACUUUGCAACUCAGCAUGUAUAGGUACAUUUCAAGGAAAGACCAAUGCUCCAAGUAAAGAUAUUUGCUCUUGCUAUGGUCAACGCACUCUGUUUUUUUUCAAGUUCAUUCCAUUUUUUAAUAGAGUGAAUAUACAAUUUACCAAUUCUUUUUUUUUUUUUUUUUUUUGAGACAUGGUCUCACAAUGUAGCCCAGGGUGGCCUCGAGCUUGUGGUGAUCCUCCUGUCUCAGCCUCCUGAGUGCUGGGAUCACAGUCGUGCGCCACCACGCCUGGCCGAUUUUACUCAUUCUUAAACUCACAGUUCUGAGGCAUUUGUAACUUCUUGUGCAAUUGCCACCAACUCUCCUUCCCCAGAACUUUCUCAUUGGCCCAAACUGAAACUCUGUGCCUGUCAGUAGAAAAAACUUCCUAUGCUUGUUUUCCUCCAGCAAUCACCACUCUACUUUCUUUCUUUAUGAAUUUUGCUACUCUAGGGACUUCAUGUAAGUGCAACCCUUUAGCAUUUGUCUUUUGGGGACUGGCUUAUUUCACUCAGCAUAAUGUCCUCAAGGUUCAUCGAUGGGGUAGCAUGUGUCAGAAUUCCAUUUCUUUUAAAAAAGGGAUAACAGUCUCAUCUAUGGACAUCCCACAUCUUGUUUAUCCAGUGAUUUGUCAAGGCAUACUUGGGUUAUUGCCACCUUUUGGCUAUUGUGAUAAUGUUGCUACCAACACGGGUGAAUGAAUAUUUAUUCAAGUUCCUGCUUUCAAGUCUUUAAGUACAUACUCAGAAGUAGAUUUUUUUCUAUCUUAUUUUCAGCAUGCUGAAUAUGACCCUGUAACUUGACCUCAGAGCCACUUGCAGUUAGGAAAGUGCUGUGUUCUCUAUACCACGUGCCCAAGCACGGCGCCUGGCACUGUGGGACUAUUUUUGGAGGAAUGUUGAAUUAAACAAUAGAUGUGUAAGA